GACGAACGCUGGCGGCGUGCUUAACACAUGCAAGUCGAACGGAAAGGCCCUGCUUUUGUGGGGUGCUCGAGUGGCGAACGGGUGAGUAACACGUGAGUAACCUGCCCUUGACUUUGGGAUAACUUCAGGAAACUGGGGCUAAUACCGGAUAGGAGCUCCUGCUGCAUGGUGGGGGUUGGAAAGUUUCGGCGGUUGGGGAUGGACUCGCGGCUUAUCAGCUUGUUGGUGGGGUAGUGGCUUACCAAGGCUUUGACGGGUAGCCGGCCUGAGAGGGUGACCGGCCACAUUGGGACUGAGAUACGGCCCAGACUCCUACGGGAGGCAGCAGUGGGGAAUAUUGCACAAUGGGCGGAAGCCUGAUGCAGCAACGCCGCGUGCGGGAUGACGGCCUUCGGGUUGUAAACCGCUUUCGCCUGUGACGAAGCGUGAGUGACGGUAAUGGGUAAAGAAGCACCGGCUAACUACGUGCCAGCAGCCGCGGUGAUACGUAGGGUGCGAGCGUUGUCCGGAUUUAUUGGGCGUAAAGGGCUCGUAGGUGGUUGAUCGCGUCGGAAGUGUAAUCUUGGGGCUUAACCCUGAGCGUGCUUUCGAUACGGGUUGACUUGAGGAAGGUAGGGGAGAAUGGAAUUCCUGGUGGAGCGGUGGAAUGCGCAGAUAUCAGGAGGAACACCAGUGGCGAAGGCGGUUCUCUGGGCCUUUCCUGACGCUGAGGAGCGAAAGCGUGGGGAGCGAACAGGCUUAGAUACCCUGGUAGUCCACGCUGUAAACGGUGGGUACUAGGUGUGGGGUCCAUUCCACGGGUUCCGUGCCGUAGCUAACGCUUUAAGUACCCCGCCUGGGGAGUACGGCCGCAAGGCUAAAACUCAAAGGAAUUGACGGGGCCCCGCACAAGCGGCGGAGCAUGCGGAUUAAUUCGAUGCAACGCGUAGAACCUUACCUGGGUUUGACAUGGAUCGGGAGUGCUCAGAGAUGGGUGUGCCUCUUUUGGGGUCGGUUCACAGGUGGUGCAUGGCUGUCGUCAGCUCGUGUCGUGAGAUGUUGGGUUAAGUCCCGCAACGAGUGCAACCCUUGUUCACUGUUGCCAGCACGUUAUGGUGGGGACUCAGUGGAGACCGCCGGGGUCAACUCGGAGGAAGGUGGGGAUGACGUCAAGUCAUCAUGCCCCUUAUGUCCAGGGCUUCACGCAUGCUACAAUGGCUGGUACAGAGAGUGGCGAGCCUGUGAGGGUGAGCGAAUCUCGGAAAGCCGGUCUCAGUUCGGAUUGGGGUCUGCAACUCGACCUCAUGAAGUCGGAGUCGCUAGUAAUCGCAGAUCAGCAACGCUGCGGUGAAUACGUUCCCGGGGCU
This 1346-nucleotide ribosomal RNA is filed under the name uncultured bacterium. Its description in RNAcentral is "partial 16S ribosomal RNA". It matches the Rfam family "Bacterial small subunit ribosomal RNA", at positions 28 to 1381 of the family's 1533-position model. The record is from RNAcentral.